Molecule: transfer RNA, 74 nt
Filed under: Pseudocarcharias kamoharai
Lineage: Eukaryota; Metazoa; Chordata; Chondrichthyes; Lamniformes; Pseudocarchariidae
Description: tRNA-Thr
Rfam family: tRNA
About the family: Transfer RNA (tRNA) molecules are approximately 80 nucleotides in length. Their secondary structure includes four short double-helical elements and three loops (D, anti-codon, and T loops).
Source: RNAcentral
GUUUUGGUAGCUUAACUUAAUAAAGCAUCGAUCUUGUAAAUCGAAAACCGGAGGUUUAAAUCCUCCCCAAAACA